AAGCCUACUUGCGGUAUACUGCAG
Molecule: non-coding RNA, 24 nt
Filed under: Arabidopsis thaliana (thale cress)
Lineage: Eukaryota; Viridiplantae; Streptophyta; Magnoliopsida; Brassicales; Brassicaceae
Source: RNAcentral